GAAUUUCCUAGGGGGCGUCAAAGCCUACCGAAGAAUAUCAAACUCCGAAUGCCAUGUAGAUGAUUCUCGGGAGUCAGACUGCACGAGAUAAGUUGGGUGGUCAAAAGGGAAAGAGCCCAGACCUGCAGCUAAGGUCCCCAAGUUGGUGUUAAGUGGAAAAGGAUGUGGGAUUUCCAAAACAGCUAGGAUGUUGGCUUAGAAGCAGCCAUACAUUUAAAGAGUGCGUAAUAGCUCACUAGUCGAGAGGUCCUGCGCCGAAAAUGUCCGGGGCUGAAACACCACACCGAAGCUCAGGAAUCACACUUAUGUGUGAUUGGUAGAGGAGCAUUGCAUACGGAAUGAAGCAGUACCGAUAAGGAGCUGUGGACUGUAUGGAAGAGAGAAUGCCGGAAUGAGUAGCGAGAAUGAAGUGAGAAUCUUCAUGGCCGAAUAUCCAAGGUUUCCGGGGUAAAGCUGAUCUGCCCCGGGUAAGUCGGGACCUAAGGCGAGGCUUAAGUGCGUAGCCGAUGGACAACAGGUUUAGAUUCCUGUACUUCCCAUGAACAGAACUGUGGGGACACAGCAGACGGAGCGCGAGCCGGAAAAGGAAAGUCCGGCGCAAGCGGUGAGUGUGUCAGGAGGCAAACCCCCUGUAUAAACACAAGCCGUGAUGCGGAGCGAAAUACAAGUAGCGAAGAGUGCCGAGCCGCUGUCGAGAAAAGCCGCUAUUGUUUUGUGGGAACCCGUACCGUAAACCGACACAGGUGGAUGAGGAGAGAAUCCUAAGGCCGGCGGGAGAAGCAUUGUUAAGGAACUCGGCAAAAUGACCCCGUAACUUCGGGAGAAGGGGUGCCUGCAGAGCUAUCUGCAGGCCGCAGAGAACUGGCCCAAGCAACUGUUUAACAAAAACACAGGUUUAUGCAAAACCGAAAGGUGAAGUAUAUGAGCUGACGCCUGCCCGGUGCUGGAAGGUUACGAGGAGAUGUUAGAGCAAUCGAAGCAUUGAAUUUAAGCCCCAGUAAACGGCGGCCGUAACUAUAACGGUCCUAAGGUAGCGAAAUUCCUUGUCGGGUAAGUUCCGACCCGCACGAAAGGCGUAAUGAUUUGGGCACUGUCUCGACAAUGCACCCGGUGAAAUUGAAAUACCAGUGAAGAUGCUGGUUACCCGCGCCAGGACGGAAAGACCCCAUGGAGCUUUACUCCAGUUUGAUGCUGGGAUUCGGUACUGCAUGUACAGGAUAGGCGGGAGACUAGGAAGAUAUAACGCCAGUUGUAUCAGAGUCGCUGUUGGGAUACCGCCCUUGUAGUACUGGGUUUCUAACCUGCCACCGUGAACCGGUGGAGGGACAACGUCAGGCGGGGAGUUUGACUGGGGCGGUCGCCUCCGAAAGGGUAUCGGAGGCGCUCAAAGGUUCCCUCAGAAUGGUUGGAAACCAUUCGAAGAGUGCAAAGGCAGAAGGGAGCUUGACUGCGAGGUCGACGGACCGAGCAGGUACGAAAGUAGGACUUAGUGAUCCGGUGGUAGAAAGUGGGAUUGCCAUCGCUCAACGGAUAAAAGCUACCCUGGGGAUAACAGGCUAAUCACUCCCAAGAGUUCACAUCGACGGAGUGGUUUGGCACCUCGAUGUCGGCUCA
RNAcentral lists this ribosomal RNA (1614 nucleotides) under human gut metagenome. RNAcentral's name for it is "bacterial LSU rRNA". It matches the Rfam family "Bacterial large subunit ribosomal RNA", at positions 912 to 2539 of the family's 2925-position model. The record is from RNAcentral.